RNAcentral lists this antisense RNA (75 nucleotides) under Micromonospora humi. Its description in RNAcentral is "ASpks TB sRNA". It matches the Rfam family "ASpks TB sRNA". Lineage: Bacteria; Bacillati; Actinomycetota; Actinomycetes; Micromonosporales; Micromonosporaceae. The record is from RNAcentral.
CUUCACCGACCCGAGCCACAGCGGACGGUCCGGCGGCCGGUUCCGCCCGUACGUGGCCAGCAGCGCCUGCGCCUC